CAUCAGCAGCCAGGAUCCCAGCUGCAGCCUUCAGCUUGGUGACCAAAGACGGGCAGCCUGUUCGCUACGACAUGGAGGUGCCAGACUCGGGCAUCGACCUGCAGUGCACACUGGCCCCUGAUGGCAGCUUCGCCUGGAGCUGGAGGGUCAAGCAUGGCCAGCUGGAGAAUAGGCCCUAACCCUGCCCUCCACCGCCGGCUCCACACUGCCGGAAGCAGCCUUCCUGCUCGGUGCACGAUGCUGCCCUGAAACACAGGCUCAGCCGCUCCCAGGGAUCUGCCAGCCCCCGGCUCAGCAGUGGGACCAGGGCCUGGCAGCAGCAAGGUGGGGGCAAGCAGAAUGCCUCCCAGGAUUUCACACCUGAGUCCUGCCCCACCCUGCUGAGAAAACACUCCGCCACAUGAAGAGACAGAGGAGGACGGCAGGAGUUACCUCGGGAAACAAACAAGAUCUUCUCUGCCCUGCUCCAGUCGAGUUGGCCUGACCCGCUUGGAUCAGUGACCAUUUGCUGGCAGACAGGGGAGAGCAGUUUCCAGCCUGGGUCAGAAGGGGUGGGCGAGCCCCUCGGCCCCUCACCCUCCAGGCUGGUGUGAGAGUGUCAAGUGUGUAAGGGCCCACACUCAGGUUCAGUGCAGAACCAGGUCAGCAGGUAUGCCCGCCCGUAGGUUAAGGGGGCCCUCUAAACCCCUUGCCUGGCCUCACCUGGCCAGCUCACCCCUUUUGGGUGUAGGGGAAAAGAAUGCCUGACCCUGGGAAGGCUCCCUGGUAGAAUACACCACACUUUUCAGGUUGUUGCAACACAGGUCCUGAGUUGACCUCUGGUUCAGCCAAGGACCAAAGAAGGUGUGUAAGUGAAGUGGUUCUCAGUCCCCAGACAUGUGCCCCUUUGCUGCUGGCUACCACUCUUCCCCAGAGCAGCAGGCCCCGAGCCCCUUCAGGCCCAGCACUGCCCCAGACUCGCUGGCACUCAGUUCCCUCAUCUGUAAAGGUGAAGGGUGAUGCAGGAUAUGCCUGACAGGAACAGUCUGUGGAUGGACAUGAUCAGUGCUAAGGAAAGCAGCAGACAGAGACGCUCCGGCGCCCCAGCCCCACUAUCAGUGUCCAGCGUGCUGGUUCCCCAGAGCACAGCUCAGCAUCACACUGACACUCACCCUGCCCUGCCCCUGGCCAGAGGGUACUGCCGACGGCACUUUGCACUCUGAUGACCUCAAAGCACUUUCAUGGCUGCCCUCUGGCAGGGCAGGGCAGUGACUCUGUAGGAGCAUAGCAAGCCAGGAGAUGGGGUGAAGGGACACAGUCUUGAGCUGUCCACAUGCAUGUGACUCCUCAAACCUCUUCCAGAUUUCUCUAAGAAUAGCACCCCCUUCCCCAUUGCCCCAGCUUAGCCUCUUCUCCCAGGGGAGCUACUCAGGACUCACGUAGCAUUAAAUCAGCUGUGAAUCGUCAGGGGGUGUCUGCUAGCCUCAACCUCCUGGGGCAGGGGACGCCGAGACUCCUUGGGAGAAGCUCAUUCCCACAUCUUGCCAAGACAGCCUUUGUCCAGCUGUCCACAUUGAGCCAGACUGCUCCCGGGGAGAGAGCCCCGGCCCCCAGCACAUAAAGAACUGCAGCCUUGGUACUGCAGAGUCUGGGUUGUAGAGAACUCUUUGUAAGCA
This 1655-nucleotide long non-coding RNA is filed under the name Pan troglodytes (chimpanzee). RNAcentral's name for it is "long non-coding RNA NONPTRT006702". Lineage: Eukaryota; Metazoa; Chordata; Mammalia; Primates; Hominidae. The record is from RNAcentral.